AUCUUAUUCCUGGUUACAUGUUAUGUUCCAUUUCCCCAGGUUACUUCACCCCUGAGGGCUCGAUUCAGAAUAGAGAUUGAGAAUCACGGAUCUAGCUGAACCAUCCAACUUUCAAAGAUGAAUAAACUGAGGACCCAGAGGUGAAGUGAUUUUUCCACAGUCCCACCAACAGAUAUGGCCAAACCAGGGAUCCUUUUGCAUUGUGAUUGUGAAGACAGAAGAAGUCAACCUGAAAACAAACCACAGUUUGGAAUCAAGCCAAGGUUAGCAUCAGUUGAGCCACAGAUCC
RNAcentral lists this long non-coding RNA (289 nucleotides) under Macaca nemestrina (pig-tailed macaque). RNAcentral describes it as "lncRNA (ENSMNEG00000046188.1)". The record is from RNAcentral. Lineage: Eukaryota; Metazoa; Chordata; Mammalia; Primates; Cercopithecidae.